AUUUGUAUAGUUUAAAAAAAACAUUAUAUUUUCAUUAUAAAAAUAUAUAAUAUAAUAUUACAAAUA
RNAcentral lists this transfer RNA (66 nucleotides) under Gynaikothrips ficorum. RNAcentral's name for it is "tRNA-Glu". Lineage: Eukaryota; Metazoa; Arthropoda; Insecta; Thysanoptera; Phlaeothripidae. The record is from RNAcentral.